GGAAAGGUGGUGAUAUCAGGAGCAGGUAGAGAGGAAAGGUGGUGAUAUCAGGAGCAGGUAGAGAGGAAAGGUGGUGAUAUCAGGAGCAGGUAGAGAGGAAAGGUGUUAAUAUCAGGAGCAGGUAGAGAGGAAAGGUGGUGAUAUCAGGAGCAGGUAGAGAGGAAAGGUGUUAAUAUCAGGAGCAGGUAGAGAGGAAAGGUGGUGAUAUCAGGAGCAGGUAGAGAGGAAAGGUGGUGAUAUCAGGAGCAGGUAGAGAGGAAAGGUGGUGAUAUCAGGAGCAGGUAGAGAGGAAAGGUGGUGAUAUCAGGAGCAGGUACAGAGGAAAGGUGUUAAUAUCAGGAGCCGGUAGAGAGGAAAGGUGGUGAUAUCAGGAGCAGGUAGAGAGGAAAGGUGUUAAUAUCAGGAGCAGGUAGAGAGGAAAGGUGGCGAUAUCAGGAGCAGGUAGAGAGGAAAGGUGUUAAUAUCAGGAGCAGGUAGAGAGGAAAGGUGGUGAUAUCAAGAGCAGGUAGAGAGGAAAGGUGGUGAUAUCAGGAGCAGGUAGAGAGGAAAGGUGGUGAUAUCAGGAGCAGGUACAGAGGAAAGGUGGUGAUAUCAGGAGCAGGUAGAGAGGAAAGGUGGUGAUAUCAGGAGCAGGAAGAGAGGAAAGGUGGUAAUAUCAGGAGCAGGUAGAGAGGAAAGGUGGUGAUAUCAGGAGCAGGUAGAGAGGAAAGGUGGUGAUAUCAGGAGCAGGUAGAGAGGAACGGUGGUGAUAUCAGGAGCAGGUAGAGAGGAAAGGUGGUGAUAUCAGGAGCAGGUAGAGAGGAAAGGUGGUGAUAUCAGGAGCAGGUAGAGA
RNAcentral lists this long non-coding RNA (832 nucleotides) under Salmo salar (Atlantic salmon). RNAcentral describes it as "lncRNA (ENSSSAG00000105719.1)". The record is from RNAcentral. Lineage: Eukaryota; Metazoa; Chordata; Actinopteri; Salmoniformes; Salmonidae.